GAUUUUCUCCCAAAAGACAAGUAAUAUAUAUGGAGAAAUGAUUUUCAUUUGUUUGUUAAUUUGUAUGUUUAGAACUAAAUAUCGUCUCUCCGAAACGCUUGAUAAUCCAAACCACUCCAAACAAAAAAAACUUUUGGGAAAAGAAACAGGCAAUAGGUGCUAAGAUGAGGAAGCAUAACCACAAACAAAGACUGCAAUUCCUAAAUUAUAUCGACAACAAAAUAAUUGCCAAUGCUCAAGGUAUUGCAUGGAUCUUCCUCCCCGUUGUUAGCUUUCUCUGCUCUUGUUGCGGAGUUGGUAAUCUUUUGGGUUGCAAUGGAUACAGUCUCUUCUGAAGUCGUUUGGAUCGUCAUGUUUCGAUCUCGUUUG
Long non-coding RNA from Arabidopsis thaliana (thale cress), 369 nucleotides. RefSeq annotates it as other RNA. The record is from RefSeq. NCBI's taxonomy places the organism in Eukaryota, Viridiplantae, Streptophyta, Magnoliopsida, Brassicales, Brassicaceae. The transcript has a single exon.